AUGGACCAAGUGAUAAACACAACAAAAUGUUUUUGCAAAAAUACACAGCAGAAAAUUGAGUGACAAUAGUGACCACUCGACCUGUUCACACAGGUCACUCGACCUGUUCACACAGGUCACUCGACCUGUUCAGACCCGCAACAAAAUUACUCAAGUGAAACCGGCGAUGAGUCGACUCAAACAGGGGAUGAGUCGACUCAAACAGGUUUUUCCAGAGUUGAGUCGACUAUGACUCGACCUGUUCAGAUCCGUGAUAACAUGGUUCAAAUGAAACAGGCAAUGAGUCGAUGCAACAGGUGGACGAGUCUACUCAUUUUAUUUUCCCAGGAUUGAG
This 334-nucleotide long non-coding RNA is filed under the name Lathyrus oleraceus (garden pea). Its description in RNAcentral is "Pisum sativum (pea) long non-coding RNA (PSAT_LNC029660)". The record is from RNAcentral. Lineage: Eukaryota; Viridiplantae; Streptophyta; Magnoliopsida; Fabales; Fabaceae.